Molecule: ribosomal RNA, 1155 nt
Filed under: Triticum aestivum (bread wheat)
Lineage: Eukaryota; Viridiplantae; Streptophyta; Magnoliopsida; Poales; Poaceae
Description: partial small subunit ribosomal RNA
Source: RNAcentral
AUGCUUCUCUUCCACAAGCAACUGUUCUCGCUCCGUCUCCCAGCUUCACCCGUGAUCUUCUCUCUCCGUCGGGCCCUCUUAUCCACCUCGGCGGCCACCGACGCCCCGCCGGCCCCAUUCGCCGUCGACAACUACCUCGUCACCACCUGCGGCCUCACACCGGAGCAAGCCCUCAAGGCCGCCAAGCACGUCUCCCACUGUAAGUCCACCUCCAACGCCGACUCCAUCCUCGCCUACCUCGCCGGCCCCACCUUCCGCUUCUCCAAGGCCGACAUCGCCCACGUCGUCGCCCGCGACCCGCGGAUCCUCAACUGCAGCGUCGACAACACCCUCAAGGCCCGCGUCGCCACCUUUCGCGGCUAUGGCCUCUCCGAGGACCACGUCCGGUCCUUCCUCCGCAUGGCCCCUGGCGUCUUCCGCUCCAUCAGCAUCCAGGAGAAGCUCGGGUUCUGGUUGCACUUCCUGGGUUCGCCGGAGAAGUUCAUCCGCAUCCUCAAGCGCAACUACUACCUCCUCACGUCGGACCUCGAGCGUGUGGUCAAGCCCAACAUCGCGGUGCUACUGGAGAGUGGGGUAAGUGCCGACGAUAUUGCCAAGAUGUGCGUGCCAAACUCGAGAUUGCUCACCAGCAGCCCCAAGACCGUGAUGUCCAUCCUGGAGCGUGCAGAUAAGCUCGGCGUGCCUCGCGGUUCGCUUAUGUUCAAGCAGGCAGUGACCACGACGACGGGCCUUGGGGCCGAGACGAUGGCAGCCAAGCUCAAGCUCUUCGAGGAGAUUCUUGGGUGGUCUGAGGCUGAGGUGACCAACGUGGUGAGGAUAAACCCAACGCUGCUGAGGAUCUCUGGGGAGAAGCUUCGCCGUGCUAAGGAGUUCCUGACCAAGGUGGUCGGUGUUGACACUAGGUACAUCCUUACCAGGCCCUCAAUCCUGAUGUACAGCCUGAAGUGCCGACUGGUUCCUCGGCAUUAUGUGAUGAAGGCGCUCCAGGAGAAAGGAUUGAUUCAGAAAGAUCAGAGCUUCUACACGAUGAUCACGCCUAGUGAGAAGACGUUUCAGCGCAGGCAUAUAGAUGCUCAUAGGCAUGUUCUUCCAGGCCUUGCUGAAGCCUACGCAGCUGCUUGCCAAGGGAAACUGCCAACUGAUGUUGCGGUAUGA